UGGGGAAUAUUGCACAAUGGGCGCAAGCCUGAUGCAGCCAUGCCGCGUGUAUGAAGAAGGCCUUCGGGUUGUAAAGUACUUUCAGCGAGGAGGAAGGCGUUGUGGUUAAUAACCGCAGCGAUUGACGUUACUCGCAGAAGAAGCACCGGCUAACUCCGUGCCAGCAGCCGCGGUAAUACGGAGGGUGCAAGCGUUAAUCGGAAUUACUGGGCGUAAAGCGCACGCAGGCGGUCUGUCAAGGCGGAUGUGAAAUCCCCGGGCUCAACCUGGGAACUGCAUCCGAAACUGGCAGGCUAGAGUCUUGUAGAGGGGGGUAGAAUUCCAGGUGUAGCGGUGAAAUGCGUAGAGAUCUGGAGGAAUACCGGUGGCGAAGGCGGCCCCCUGGACAAAGACUGACGCUCAGGUGCGAAAGCGUGGGGAGCAAACA
RNAcentral lists this ribosomal RNA (427 nucleotides) under uncultured bacterium. Its description in RNAcentral is "partial 16S ribosomal RNA". It matches the Rfam family "Bacterial small subunit ribosomal RNA", at positions 355 to 774 of the family's 1533-position model. The record is from RNAcentral.